CACCUGCAUAUUUGACGUUACCUACAGAAGAAGCACCGGCUAACUCCGUGCCAGCAGCCGCGGUAAUACGGAGGGUGCGAGCGUUAAUCGGAAUUACUGGGCGUAAAGCGCAUGCAGGCGGCCUGUUAAGUCAGAUGUGAAAGCCCGGGGCGUUAACCUCGGAAUUGCAUUUGAAACUAGGCAGGCUAGAGUCUUGUAGAGGGGGGUAGGAAGUUUCAGGUGUAGCGGUGAAAUGCGUAGAGAUCUGAAGGAAUACCAGUGGCGAAGGCGGCCCCCUGGACAAAGACUGACGCUCAGAUGCGAAAGCGUGGGGAGCAAACAGGAUUAGAUACCCUGGUAG
This 340-nucleotide ribosomal RNA is filed under the name uncultured bacterium. RNAcentral describes it as "bacterial SSU rRNA". It matches the Rfam family "Bacterial small subunit ribosomal RNA", at positions 458 to 793 of the family's 1533-position model. The record is from RNAcentral.